GGGCGAUUGGCUCAGCGGUAGAGCGCUUCCCUGACACGGAAGAGGUCACUGGUUCGAUCCCAGUAUCGCCCA
Molecule: transfer RNA, 72 nt
Filed under: Modestobacter roseus
Lineage: Bacteria; Bacillati; Actinomycetota; Actinomycetes; Geodermatophilales; Geodermatophilaceae
Also listed under: 1 other name
Rfam family: tRNA
About the family: Transfer RNA (tRNA) molecules are approximately 80 nucleotides in length. Their secondary structure includes four short double-helical elements and three loops (D, anti-codon, and T loops). Further hydrogen bonds mediate the characteristic L-shaped molecular structure. tRNAs have two regions of fundamental functional importance: the anti-codon, which is responsible for specific mRNA codon recognition, and the 3' end, to which the tRNAs corresponding amino acid is attached (by aminoacyl-tRNA synthetases). tRNAs cope with the degeneracy of the genetic code in two manners: having more than one tRNA (with a specific anti-codon) for a particular amino acid; and 'wobble' base-pairing, i.e. permitting non-standard base-pairing at the 3rd anti-codon position.
Source: Rfam by way of RNAcentral